UUAUUUCUUAAUUUAGGGUCAGUGUUUUGUCGCUGUGAAUCCUGCAGUGUUUGCCCCAGGAUUUGAAGACCGUAUGCAGUCAUUGAUGGACCACUGCAGAAAUCUGCAACCGGCGGAGGGUGAGACUGCAGUACUUGUGGCCGGAGACCCGGAGAGGGCGCACAUGCGUAAAGUGGAGGAAGAUGGUGGUAUUUUUUAUCAUGUUAACUUGGUGGAAGCUAUGGACAAGUUGGCUGAUCGGCUCGGCGUAAAACCCAUGCCAACAUUCAAGCUCGCCUCUUUUUAGCUUUGAAAAGGACACCCCCAACCCCCAACAAGGUUAAAAAAUAUAUGACGUAUCUGACUCAACCUAUUUUAGUAGAAACUAA
Long non-coding RNA from Orbicella faveolata, 368 nucleotides. The record is from RefSeq and is a predicted model, not a curated record. NCBI's taxonomy places the organism in Eukaryota, Metazoa, Cnidaria, Anthozoa, Scleractinia, Merulinidae.